GGGGUACGAUGAGUGCUAGAGUUUGAUCCUGGCUCAGGACGAACGCUGGCGGCGUGCCUAAUACAUGCAAGUCGAGCGGACAGAAGGGAGCUUGCUCCCGGAUGUUAGCGGCGGACGGGUGAGUAACACGUGGGUAACCUGCCUGUAAGACUGGGAUAACUCCGGGAAAUCCGGAGCUAAUACCGGAUAGUUCCUUGAACCGCAUGGUUCAAGGAUGAAAGACGGUUUCGGCUGUCACUUACAGAUGGACCCGCGGCGCAUUAGCUAGUUGGUGGGGUAAUGGCUCACCAAGGCGACGAUGCGUAGCCGACCUGAGAGGGUGAUCGGCCACACUGGGACUGAGACACGGCCCAGACUCCUACGGGAGGCAGCAGUAGGGAAUCUUCCGCAAUGGACGAAAGUCUGACGGAGCACACGCCGCGUGAGUGAUGAAGGUUUUCGGAUCGUAAAGCUCUGUUGUUAGGGAAGAACAAGUGCGAGAGUAACUGCUCGCACCAUGACGGUACCUAACCAGAAAGCCACGGCUAACUACGUGCCAGCAGCCGCGGUAAUACGUAGGUGGCAAGCGUUGUCCGGAAUUAUUGGGCGUAAAGGGCUCGCAGGCGGUUUCUUAAGUCUGAUGUGAAAGCCCCCGGCUCAACCGGGGGAGGGUCAUUGGAAACUGGGAAACUUGAGUGCAGAAGAGGAGAGUGGAAUUCCACGUGUAGCGGUGAAAUGCGUAGAGAUGUGGAGGAACACCAGUGGCGAAGGCGACUCUCUGGUCUGUAACUGACGCUGAGGAGCGAAAGCGUGGGGAGCGAACAGGAUUAGAUACCCUGGUAGUCCACGCCGUAAACGAUGAGUGCUAAGUGUUAGGGGGUUUCCGCCCCUUAGUGCUGCAGCUAACGCAUUAAGCACUCCGCCUGGGGAGUACGGUCGCAAGACUGAAACUCAAAGGAAUUGACGGGGGCCCGCACAAGCGGUGGAGCAUGUG
RNAcentral lists this ribosomal RNA (973 nucleotides) under Bacillus australimaris. RNAcentral's name for it is "bacterial SSU rRNA". It matches the Rfam family "Bacterial small subunit ribosomal RNA", at positions 1 to 943 of the family's 1533-position model. The record is from RNAcentral. Lineage: Bacteria; Bacillati; Bacillota; Bacilli; Caryophanales; Bacillaceae.